This 600-nucleotide ribosomal RNA is filed under the name uncultured archaeon. RNAcentral describes it as "bacterial SSU rRNA". It matches the Rfam family "Archaeal small subunit ribosomal RNA", at positions 82 to 685 of the family's 1478-position model. The record is from RNAcentral.
CGGACGGCUCAGUAACACGUGGCUAACCUACCCUCGGGUGGGGGAUAACCUCGGGAAACUGAGGAUAAUACCCCAUAGGAGAAGAGGUCUGGAAUGAUCCUUCUCUGAAAACAUAUGUGCCCGAGGAUGGGGCUGCGUCUGAUUAGGUAGUUGGUGGGGUAACGGCCCACCAAGCCUACGAUCAGUACGGGCCUUGAGAGAGGCAGCCCGGAGAUGGGGACUGAGACACGGCCCCAGGCCCUACGGGGCGCAGCAGGCGCGAAACCUCCGCAAUGCACGAAAGUGCGACGGGGGGACCCCAAGUGCUUACGCACUGCGUAGGCUUUUCUAAAGUGUAAAAAGCUUUAGGAAUAAGGGCUGGGCAAGUCCGGUGCCAGCAGCCGCGGUAACACCGGCGGCCCGAGUGGUGACCACUUUUAUUGGGCCUAAAGCGUCCGUAGCCGGUCCAGUAAGUCCCUGUUUAAAUCCUACGGCUUAACCGUAGGGCUGGCAGGGAUACUGCUGGACUUGGGACCGGGAGAGGGCGAGGGUACUUCAGGGGUAGCGGUGAAAUGUGUUGAUCCCUGGAGGACCACCUAUGGCGAAGGCACUCACCUGGAA